This 83-nucleotide microRNA precursor is filed under the name Ovis aries (sheep). RNAcentral describes it as "miRNA (ENSOARG00000024884.1)". Lineage: Eukaryota; Metazoa; Chordata; Mammalia; Artiodactyla; Bovidae. The record is from RNAcentral.
UGUGGGGUUGGCCAAAAAGUUUGUUUGGAUUUUUAAUCACAUCUUACAGAAAAACCCAAACAAGCUUUUUUGCCAACCCAAUA